This 1372-nucleotide ribosomal RNA is filed under the name uncultured bacterium. RNAcentral's name for it is "bacterial SSU rRNA". It matches the Rfam family "Bacterial small subunit ribosomal RNA", at positions 28 to 1381 of the family's 1533-position model. The record is from RNAcentral.
GAUGAACGCUGGCGGCGUGCCUAAUACAUGCAAGUCGAGCGAACGGACGAGAAGCUUGCUUCUCUGAUGUUAGCGGCGGACGGGUGAGUAACACGUGGAUAACCUACCUAUAAGACUGGGAUAACUUCGGGAAACCGGAGCUAAUACCGGAUAAUAUUUUGAACCGCAUGGUUCAAAAGUGAAAGACGGUCUUGCUGUCACUUAUAGAUGGAUCCGCGCUGCAUUAGCUAGUUGGUAAGGUAACGGCUUACCAAGGCAACGAUGCAUAGCCGACCUGAGAGGGUGAUCGGCCACACUGGAACUGAGACACGGUCCAGACUCCUACGGGAGGCAGCAGUAGGGAAUCUUCCGCAAUGGGCGAAAGCCUGACGGAGCAACGCCGCGUGAGUGAUGAAGGUCUUCGGAUCGUAAAACUCUGUUAUUAGGGAAGAACAUAUGUGUAAGUAACUGUGCACAUCUUGACGGUACCUAAUCAGAAAGCCACGGCUAACUACGUGUCAGCAGCCGCGGUAAUACGUAGGUGGCAAGCGUUAUCCGGAAUUAUUGGGCGUAAAGCGCGCGUAGGCGGUUUUUUAAGUCUGAUGUGAAAGCCCACGGCUCAACCGUGGAGGGUCAUUGGAAACUGGAAAACUUGAGUGCAGAAGAGGAAAGUGGAAUUCCAUGUGUAGCGGUGAAAUGCGCAGAGAUAUGGAGGAACACCAGUGGCGAAGGCGACUUUCUGGUCUGUAACUGACGCUGAUGUGCGAAAGCGUGGGGAUCAAACAGGAUUAGAUACCCUGGUAGUCCACGCCGUAAACGAUGAGUGCUAAGUGUUAGGGGGUUUCCGCCCCUUAGUGCUGCAGCUAACGCAUUAAGCACUCCGCCUGGGGAGUACGACCGCAAGGUUGAAACUCAAAGGAAUUGACGGGGACCCGCACAAGCGGUGGAGCAUGUGGUUUAAUUCGAAGCAACGCGAAGAACCUUACCAAAUCUUGACAUCCUUUGACAACUCUAGAGAUAGAGCCUUCCCCUUCGGGGGACAAAGUGACAGGUGGUGCAUGGUUGUCGUCAGCUCGUGUCGUGAGAUGUUGGGUUAAGUCCCGCAACGAGCGCAACCCUUAAGCUUAGUUGCCAUCAUUAAGUUGGGCACUCUAAGUUGACUGCCGGUGACAAACCGGAGGAAGGUGGGGAUGACGUCAAAUCAUCAUGCCCCUUAUGAUUUGGGCUACACACGUGCUACAAUGGACAAUACAAAGGGCAGCGAAACCGCGAGGUCAAGCAAAUCCCAUAAAGUUGUUCUCAGUUCGGAUUGUAGUCUGCAACUCGACUACAUGAAGCUGGAAUCGCUAGUAAUCGUAGAUCAGCAUGCUACGGUGAAUACGUUCCCGGGUCU